Non-coding RNA from Drosophila suzukii, 381 nucleotides. The record is from RefSeq and is a predicted model, not a curated record. NCBI's taxonomy places the organism in Eukaryota, Metazoa, Arthropoda, Insecta, Diptera, Drosophilidae.
ACUUUGAAAACUUGGGUCACACUACAAAGAAUAAGAUUUUUCGACUAGUGAAACUCUUAGCCGAUCUGAGUACUAGGCUUAAUAAAUCGGAAGCCCGCAUACUUUGCUGCGCCGACAUUUUCUGUUCCCAAAAUCUUUCGGCGGUCAUAUCAUUCUAGUGAACGUGUCACUGUAAUUGAAAUAUAAUUUCACUUAUAGUGCGUGUAUUAUCAAACUAAUAAAUAUGAAUGUAUUCAAUGGGUUCCGUUAGCCGAAAGUGGAUGACGAAAUGUUUUGAUCCAAUAAAAACCCUGCAAAGGGUUAAACACAGCUAUAAAAGGAGCGUUGGCCAAGGAUUCAGAGGACCCGGACAAAGGUUUAAGAACGGCGAUGACUAACGUU